UACGGGGGGAGCAAGCGUUGUUCGGAUUUACUGGGCGUAAAGGGCGCGUAGGCGGCGCAACAAGUCACUUGUGAAAUCUCCGGGCUUAACCCGGAGCGGCCAAGUGAUACUGUCGUGCUAGAGUGCGGAAGGGGCUACUGGAAUUCUCGGUGUAGCGGUGAAAUGCGUAGAUAUCGAGAGGAACACCUGCGGCGGAGGCGGGUAGGCGGGCCGACACUGACGCUGAGGCGCGAAAGCCAGGGGAGCGAACGGG
This 253-nucleotide ribosomal RNA is filed under the name uncultured bacterium. Its description in RNAcentral is "partial 16S ribosomal RNA". It matches the Rfam family "Bacterial small subunit ribosomal RNA", at positions 524 to 776 of the family's 1533-position model. The record is from RNAcentral.